CUGAAGAGAGGAGCUUGCUCUUCUUGGAUGAGUUGCGAACGGGUGAGUAACGCGUAGGUAACCUGCCUUGUAGCGGGGGAUAACUAUUGGAAACGAUAGCUAAUACCGCAUAACAAUGGAUGACACAUGUCAUUUAUUUGAAAGGGGCAAUUGCUCCACUACAAGAUGGACCUGCGUUGUAUUAGCUAGUAGGUGAGGUAAUGGCUCACCUAGGCGACGAUACAUAGCCGACCUGAGAGGGUGAUCGGCCACACUGGGACUGAGACACGGCCCAGACUCCUACGGGAGGCAGCAGUAGGGAAUCUUCGGCAAUGGGGGCAACCCUGACCGAGCAACGCCGCGUGAGUGAAGAAGGUUUUCGGAUCGUAAAGCUCUGUUGUAAGUCAAGAACGGGUGUGAGAGUGGAAAGUUCACACUGUGACGGUAGCUUACCAGAAAGGGACGGCUAACUACGUGCCAGCAGCCGCGGUAAUACGUAGGUCCCGAGCGUUGUCCGGAUUUAUUGGGCGUAAAGCGAGCGCAGGCGGUUUGAUAAGUCUGAAGUUAAAGGCUGUGGCUCAACCAUAGUUCGCUUUGGAAACUGUCAAACUUGAGUGCAGAAGGGGAGAGUGGAAUUCCAUGUGUAGCGGUGAAAUGCGUAGAUAUAUGGAGGAACACCGGUGGCGAAAGCGGCUCUCUGGUCUGUAACUGACGCUGAGGCUCGAAAGCGUGGGGAGCGAACAGGAUUAGAUACCCUGGUAGUCCACGCCGUAAACGAUGAGUGCUAGGUGUUGGAUCCUUUCCGGGAUUCAGUGCCGCAGCUAACGCAUUGAGCACUCCGCCUGGGGAGUACGACCGCAAGGUUGAAACUCAAAGGAAUUGACGGGGGCCCGCACAAGCGGUGGAGCAUGUGGUUUAAUUCGAAGCAACGCGAAGAACCUUACCAGGUCUUGACAUCCCGAUGCUAUUUCUAGAGAUAGAAAGUUACUUCGGUACAUCGGUGACAGGUGGUGCAUGGUUGUCGUCAGCUCGUGUCGUGAGAUGUUGGGUUAAGUCCCGCAACGAGCGCAACCCCUAUUGUUAGUUGCCAUCAUUCAGUUGGGCACUCUAGCGAGACUGCCGGUAAUAAACCGGAGGAAGGUGGGGAUGACGUCAAAUCAUCAUGCCCCUUAUGACCUGGGCUACACACGUGCUACAAUGGUUGGUACAACGAGUUGCGAGUCGGUGACGGCGAGCUAAUCUCUUAAAGCCAAUCUCAGUUCAGAUUGUAGGCUGCAACUCGCCUACAUGAAGUCGGAAUCGCUAGUAAUCGCGGAUCAGCACGCCGCGGUGAAUACGUUCCCGGGCCUUGUACACACCGCCCGUCACACCACGAGAGUUUGUAACACCCGAAGUCGGUGAGGU
This 1383-nucleotide ribosomal RNA is filed under the name uncultured Streptococcus sp. Its description in RNAcentral is "bacterial SSU rRNA". It matches the Rfam family "Bacterial small subunit ribosomal RNA", at positions 67 to 1436 of the family's 1533-position model. The record is from RNAcentral. Lineage: Bacteria; Bacillati; Bacillota; Bacilli; Lactobacillales; Streptococcaceae.